Long non-coding RNA from Paramisgurnus dabryanus, 423 nucleotides. RefSeq lists it as uncharacterized. NCBI's taxonomy places the organism in Eukaryota, Metazoa, Chordata, Actinopteri, Cypriniformes, Cobitidae. The record is from RefSeq and is a predicted model, not a curated record.
CAAAAAAAAACAUUCAUUUUCGUAAGGGGAAUAUGAGUGUUUGUUUUUUUGUAGUUUUUCAGUCAAUUGCAUACCGCUUUUAGCUGUACAAAACUUAAACAGUUUUCGUAAAUGCAUUUCAGAGAAAAGUGAAUUCUGAGAUUUGAAUAAUGCAUCUGACGUGUGUGUGAUGACGUCACGACGCACGUAUUUUGAUUUUUACCAGUCGUUCAAGGCGGACGGAUUCAGUCCCAAGAAGCUAAAGUUUUUCAAAGACAUUUGUAGGGAGGACUUUGCAGCUAAUGGAGCUGAAGUAUUUUAUGUAAGGAGGAUUUUGCAGCCCAUAUAGAUUUCCUUAGGCUGAACCAAAACCUGCCAGACUAAAGUUGAUUUGGGAGAGAAAGACGUUGUAAACUCAAUCAUCUUGACAUUCUUCAAUGAGUA